CACUAAUAUGAUAUUUCUGAACUAUAUUUUUCAGCAAAGGAUCAGUCAAGACUGAAGUUGAUCUGCUUUUCAACAGUACAAAUGUUGUGCCAUCAAAUAAUGAAAUUGGCAAUGCAAUAUUGAACAACGUACAAUUUCUAAAUGACCUAAACGCAACUGCUAAUUCAGUUGACAUUAAUGGAACACAAAUAUCAUCCAUUACUGAACCAACAACUGAAUAUUCAACACCCACAACAACACCUGCUCAAACAUCCACCACUACUGCAGCAGAAACAUCUACAACAACAGAGUCCUCCACAACAGAAUCCUCCACUGCUCCUCCUGUGGAAACGUCUACUACAACCAUAGUAGUAACAUCUACUAUAGAAACAGACUCCUCCACAACAACUCCUGUUGAAACAUCAACCACUACUGAAUCAAUAACAUCUACUAUGACAACAGAGUCUUCCACAGCAACUCUUGAAGAAACAGUCACAACUGAAUACUCAACACUCACAACACCUGCUCAGACAUCCACCUCUACUGUAGCAGAAACAUCUACAACAACAGAGCCCACAACAACUCCUGUGGAAACGUCUACUACUACCAUAGCAGUAACAUCUACUACAGCAACAGAGUCCUCCACAACUACUCCUGCUGAUACAUCCACCACUACUUCAGCUGUAACAUCUACUACACCAACAGAGUCCUCUACAACAACUCUGGAAGAAACAUCAACAACUGAAUACUCAACACUCACAACAAUGCCUGCUCAAACAUCCACUACUACUGCAGCAGAACCAUCUACAACAACAGAGCCCUCCACAACAACUACUGUAGAAAUGUCUACUACUAACCUAGCAGUAACAUCUACUACGCAAACAGAGUCCUCCACGACAACUCUUGAAGAUACAGCUACUACUACAACAGAAUUAACAUCUACUACUAUAACAGAGCCCUCAACAACCACUCCUGCUGAAAUAUCCACUGCUACUGUUGCAGAAACAUCUACAACAACAACAACAACAGAAUCCUACACAACAACUGCUGCUGAAACAUCCACCAGUACUUCAGCUGUAAUGUCUACUACAACCACAGAGCCCUCAACAACUGUUGUUGAAACAUCUACCACUACUGCAGCAGAAACAUCUACUACAACCAGAGAGUCAGCCACAACAACUAUUGAAGAAACAUUCACAACAACAGAGCCCUCCACAACAACUCCUGUGGAAACGUCCACUACUACCAUAGCAGUAACAUCUACUACACCAACAGAGUCCUCCACAACUACUCCUGAAGAAACGUCUUCCACUACCAUAGAAGUAACAUCUACUACACUAACAGAGUCCUCCACAACAACUCUUGGAGAAACAUCCACUACUAAAGUAGAGUUAACAUCUACUACUAUAACAGAGCUCUCAACAACAACUCCUGCUGCAACAUCCACAACUUCAGUUGUAACAUCUACAAUGCCAGAGUCCUCCAAAACAACUCUUGAAGAAACAUCCACUACUACAGUAGAGUUAACAUCUACAACAACAGAGCCCUCCACAACAACUCCUGUGGAAACGUCUACUACUACAAUAGCAGUCACAUCUACUACAGCAGCAGAAUCCUCCACAACAACUCUUGAAGAAACAUCCACAACUGAACAGUCAACACCCACAACAACUCCUGCUGAAAUAUCCACCACUAAUGCAGCAGAAACAUCUACAACAACAGAGCCCUCCACAACAACUCCUGAAGAAACUUCUACUACUACAAUAAAAGUAACAUCUACUACACCAACAGAGCCCUCAACAACCACUUCUGCUGAAACAUCCACCACUUCAGUUGUAACAUCUACUACAUCAGAGUCCUCGACAACAACUCUUGAAGAAACAUCCACUACUACAGUAGAGUUAACAUCUACUAUUAUAACAGAGCCCUCCACAUCAACUCCUAUGGAAACGUCUACUACUACCACUGCAGUAACAUCUACAACAACAACAGAAUCCUCCACAACAACUCCAGUUGAAACAUCCACCACUGAAUACUCAACACCCGCAACACCUGCUCAGACAUCCACCACUACUGAAGCCGUUGCAUCUACUACAGCAACAGACUCCUCCACAACAAGUUUUGAAGAAACAGCCACUUCUACAGUAGAAUUAACAUCUACUACUAUAACAGAGCCAUCAACAACAACUCUAGCUGAAAUAUCUACCACUACUGCAGCUGUAACUUCUACAACAACAACAACAGAGCCCUCCACAACAACUCUUGAUGACACAUCCACCACUACUGCAGAAGUAACAUCUAUUAUAACAACAGAGCCCUCAACGAUUCCUGUUGAGAAAUCCACCAGUACAGCAGAAAUAACAUACACUACUACAGCAGAGCCCUCAACAACAACAUUUGAAGACACAUCCACCACUACUGAAACAGUAACAUCUAUUUCAACAACAGAGACACCCACAACUACUCUUGAAGAAACAUCCACCAUUACUGCAACAGUAACAUCUACUGCAACAACAGAGUUCACCACAACUACUUCUGCUGAAACAUCCUCCACAUCUGCAGCAGUAACAUCUACAACAACAAAGACAACAUCUCUCUCUACUACUGCAAAUGCAGUAUCUGGAAACGUAGUAGUAAUAACACUGUUUUUCAAAUCCCAAGACACAUUUAUAGAUGACUUCAAUGAUAACAGUUCUCCCGCUUUCAAGAAAAGGGCAUCAUUUGUUGAGCAACUUUUUCAUGAGCUUUUGAAAGGGUGGUUUAAGUCUUUCCUAGGAGCCAUCGUCAAGAAAUUCAGCAAAGGAUCAGUCAACACUGAAGUUGGUCUUCUUUUUAACAGUACAGAUGUUGUACCAUCAAAUAAUGAAAUUGGCAAUGCAAUAUUGAACAACGCACAAUUUCUAAAUGACCUAAACGCAACUGCUAAUUCAGUUGACAUUAAUGGAACACAAAUAUCAUCAAUUACUGAACCAACAACGGAAUACUCAACACCCACAACAACACCUGCUCAAACAUCCACCCUUACUGCAGCAGAAACAUCUACAACAACAGAGUCCUCCACAACAGAGGCCUCCACUGCUCCUCCUGUGGAAACGUCUACUACUACCAUAGUAGUAACAUCUACUAUAGAAACAGACUCCUCCACAACAACUCCUGUUGAAACAUCCACCACUACUGAAUCAAUAACAUCUACUAUGACAACAGAGUCUUCCACAGCAACUCUUGAAGAAACAGUCACAACUGAAUACUCAACACUCACAACAACACCUGCUCAGACGUCCACCUCUACUGUAGCAGAAACAUCUACAACAACAGAGCCCUCCACAACAGAGUCCUCCACAACAUCUCCUGUGGAAACAUCUACUACUACCAUAGCAGUAACAUCUACUACAGAAACAGAAUCCUCCACAACUACUCCUGCUGAUAUAUCCACCACUACUUCAGCUGUAACAUCUACUACACAAACAGAGUCCUCUACAACAACUCUAGGAGAAACAUCCAUAACUGAAUACUCAACACCCACAACAACGCCUCAAACAUCCACUACUACUGCAGCAGAAAUAUCUACAACAACAGAGCCCUCCACAACAACUACUGUAGAAAUGUCUACUACUAACAUAGCAGUAACAUCUACUACACAAACAGAGUCCUCCACGACAACUCUUGAAGAUACAUCUACUACUACAAUAGAAUUAACAUCUACUACUAUAACAGAGCCCUCAACAACCACUCCUGCUGAAAUAUCCACUGCUACUGUUGCAGAAACAUCUACAACAGCAACAACAGAAUCCUCCACAACAACUGCUGCUGAAACAUCCACCAGUACUUCAGCUGUAAUGUCUACUACAACCACAGAGCCCUCAACAACUGUAAUUGAAACAUCUACCACUACUGCAGCAGAAACAUCUUCUACAACCGGAGAGUCAGCCACAACAACUAUUGAAGAAACAUCCACAACAACAGAGCCCUCCACAACAACUCCUGUGGAAACAUCCACUACUACCAUAGCAGUAACAUCUACUACACCAACAGAGUCCUCCACAACAACUGUUGAAGAAUCAUCCACAGCUGAAUACUCAACAACACCUGCUCAAACACCCACCACUACAGCAGCAGAAACAUCUACAACAACAGAACCCUUCACAACAACUUCUGUAGAAACAUCUACUACUACCUUAGCAGUAAAGUCUACUACAGCAAUAGAAUCCUCCACAACAAUUUUUGAGGNNNNNNNNNNNNNNNNNNNNNNNNNNNNNNNNNNNNNNNNNNNNNNNNNNNNNNNNNNNNNNNNNNNNNNNNNNNNNNNNNNNNNNNNNNNNNNNNNNNNCAAUAUUGAACAACACACAAUUUCUAAAUGACCUAAACGCCACUGCUAAUUCAGUUGACAUUAAUGGAACACAAAUAUCAUCCAUUACUGAGCCAACAACUGAAUACUCAACACCCACAACAACACCUGCUCAAACAUUCACCACUACUGCAGCAGAAACAUCUACAACAGAACCCUUCACAACAACUCUUGAAGAAACAUCCACUACUACAUUAGAGUUAACAUCUACAACAACAGAGCCCUCCACAACAACUUCUGAAGAGACGUUUGCUACUACCAAAGAAGUAACCUCUACACCAACAGAGUCCUUCACAACAACUCUAGAGGAAACAUCCACGACUGAAUACUCAACAGCCACAACAAUGCCUGCUCAAACAUCCACCACAACUACAGUAGAAACAUCUACAACAGCAGAGCCCUCCACAUCAACUCCUGAAGAAACGUCUUCUACUACCAUAGAAGUAACCUCUACUACACCAACAGAGUCCUCCACGACAACUCUUGAAGAAACAACCACUACUACAUUAGAGUUAACAUCUACAACAACAGAGCCCUCCACAACCACUCCUUUGGAGAAGUCUACUACUACCAUAGAAGUAACAUCUACAGCAGCAGAGUCCUCCACAACAACUCUUGAAGAAACAUCCACCACUACUGAAGCAGAAACAUCUACAACAACAAAGCCCUCUACAACAACUCCUGUAGAAACGUCUUCUACUACCAUAGAAGUAACAUCUACUACACCAACAGAGUCCUCCACAACAACUCUUGGAGAAACAUCCACUACUACAGUAGAAUUAACAUCUUCUUCUAUAACAGAGCCCUCAACAACAUCCACAACUUCACUUGUAACAUCUACUACGCCAGAGUUCUCCACUACAACACUUGAAGAAACAUCCACUUCUACAGUAGAGUUAACAUCUACAACAACAGAGCCAUCAACAACAACUCCUUUGGAAAAGUCUACUACUACCAUAGAAGUAACAUCUACUACAACAACAGAGCCCUCGACAACAACUCUUGAAGAAACAUCUACAACUGAACACUCAACACCAACAACAACUCCUUCUGAAAUAUCCACUACUACUGAAGCAGAAACAUCUACAACAACAGAGCCCUAUACAAUAACUCCUGAAGAAACGUCUUCUACUACCAUAGCAGUUACAUCUACUACAGCAGCAGAAUACUCCACAACAACUCUUGAAGAAACGUCUACUACUACAAUAGAAGAAACAUCUACUACUAUAACAGAGCCCUCAACAACAACAACUGAACCAUCCUCCACAACAACAGCUGAAAUAUCCACCACUACUGAAGCAGAAACAUCUACAAC
RNAcentral lists this long non-coding RNA (5639 nucleotides) under Danio rerio (zebrafish). RNAcentral's name for it is "lncRNA (ENSDARG00000117216.1)". The record is from RNAcentral. Lineage: Eukaryota; Metazoa; Chordata; Actinopteri; Cypriniformes; Danionidae.